RNAcentral lists this ribosomal RNA (508 nucleotides) under uncultured bacterium. Its description in RNAcentral is "partial 16S ribosomal RNA". It matches the Rfam family "Bacterial small subunit ribosomal RNA", at positions 28 to 507 of the family's 1533-position model. The record is from RNAcentral.
GACGAACGCUGGCGGCGUGCCUAAUACAUGCAAGUCGAACGCUUCUUUCCUCCCGAGUGCUUGCACUCAAUUGGAAAGAGGAGUGGCGGACGGGUGAGUAACACGUGGGUAACCUACCCAUCAGAGGGGGAUAACACUUGGAAACAGGUGCUAAUACCGCAUAACAGUUUAUGCCGCAUGGCAUAAGAGUGAAAGGCGCUUUCGGGUGUCGUUGAUGGAUGGACCCGCGGUGCAUUAGCUAGUUGGUGAGGUAACGGCUCACCAAGGCCACGAUGCAUAGCCGACCUGAGAGGGUGAUCGGCCACACUGGAACUGAGACACGGCCCAGACUCCUACGGGAGGCAGCAGUAGGGAAUCUUCGGCAAUGGACGAAAGUCUGACCGAGCAACGCCGCGUGAGUGAAGAAGGUUUUCGGAUCGUAAAACUCUGUUGUUAGGGAAGAACAAGGACGUUAGUAACUGAACGUCCCCUGACGGUAUCUAACCAGAAAGCCACGGCUAACUACGUG